AAAUCUAUUUCAAUAGAGCAUAUAAUGUUGAUGGCCUGAUGUAGAGCACUCAAUGGGCUAGGGUGGCCCCCCAAAACCCUUGACCAAGCCAAGGGAAAUUCCGAAGACAGACCGAGAUCGUUUGUACAGACAAAGUCUUUGGAUGCUAAGAUCCAAAGUCGAGAGGGAAACAGCCCAGAUCGUACACUAAGGUCCCUUAGCAAUCACCUAGUGGAAAAGGAAGUGAUCGAGCGAUACAAUUAGGAGAUGGGCUUGGAAGCAGCCAUCUUCUGAAGAAAGCAUAAUAGCUCACCGGUCUAGCUCCAUGGCACCGAAAAUGUAUCAGGGCUCAAGUGAUUCACCAAAGCGACGGGACCUUGAAAGCAUUUUCAAGUGUCAGUA
This 381-nucleotide non-coding RNA is filed under the name Amborella trichopoda. RNAcentral describes it as "Bacterial large subunit ribosomal RNA". It matches the Rfam family "Bacterial large subunit ribosomal RNA", at positions 862 to 1230 of the family's 2925-position model. The record is from Rfam by way of RNAcentral. Lineage: Eukaryota; Viridiplantae; Streptophyta; Magnoliopsida; Amborellales; Amborellaceae.